AGUGCGAUGUGGGGACGAAGGUGCGUAACUGCUGCGAUCAGACGGAAUUGGUCGUUGAAGGAGGGUAGGUUAUGAGAUGGGUAGAGAAGUUCGCCCGUUGAGCCGAGCUCUGAUAGUACCCUAAUGUUUUAGGCAGAAGGGAUAAUGCAGCCAAGCGAACUUCCAAGAAAAGCCACUAAGCUUCAGCUAUACGGAGCCCGUACCGGAAACCGACACAGGUGUCCGAGGAGAAUAUCCUAAGGUGCUCGAGUGAUUCACGGCUAAGGAACUCGGCAAAUUGAUCUCGUAACUUCGGGAGAAGAGAUACCUACCCAGAGAUGGGAGGUCGCAGAGAAUAGGUCCAGGCAACUGUUUAACAAAAACACAGGGCACUGCUAAAUCGUGAGAUUAGGUAUAGUGCCUGACACCUGCCCGGUGCUGGAAGGUUAAGGGAGGGGGUCAGCCGCAAGGUGAAGCUCUUGACUGAAGCCCCAGUAAACGGCGGCCGUAACGAUAACGGUCCUAAGGUAGCGAAAUUCCUUGUCGGGUAAGUUCCGACCUGCACGAAUGGUGUAAUGAUCUGGACACUGUCUCGGCCGUGAGCUCGGUGAAAUUGUAGUAUCGGUGAAGAUGCCGAUUACCCGCAACGGGACGGAAAGACCCCGUGAACCUUCACUACAACUUAACACUGUAUCUGGGUAAAUGGUGUGUAGGAUAGGUGGGAGGCUAUGAAGCUGUCACGCUAGUGAUGGUGGAGCCGACGUUGAAAUACCACCCUUUAUUUACUUAGAUACUAACUGUCGCAAUGACUAGGACCCUGUUUGGUGGGUAGUUUGACUGGGGUGGUCGCCUCCUAAAGAGUAACGGAGGCUUCCAAAGGUACCCUCAGCAUGGACGGUAAUCAUGCGAAGAGCGUAUUAGUAUAAGGGUGCUUGACUGCGAGACCGACAAGUCGAGCAGGUAGGAAACUAGGGUAAAGUGAUCCGGUGGUUCUGUAUGGAAGGGCCAUCGCUCAAAGGAUAAAAGGUACUCCGGAUAACAGGCUGAUCUCCCCCAAGAGCUCAUAUCGACGGGGAGGUUUGGCACCUCGAUGUCGGCUCGUCACAUCCUGGGGCUGGAGAAGGUCCCAAGGGUUGGGCUGUUCGCCCAUUAAAGUGGCACGCGAGCUGGGUUCAGAACGUCGCAAGACAGUUCGGUCCCCAUCUGUUGUGGGCGCAAGAGACUUGAGAGGUAUUAACAUUAGUACGAGAGGACCGUGUUAGACGAACCUCUGGUGUACCGGUUGUGGCGCCAGCUGCACCGCCGGGUAGCUAUGUUCGGCAUGGAUAAGCACUGAAAGCAUCUAAGUGCGAAGCCACCCUCAAGAUGAGGUCUCUGAUGAAGGGUCGUUGGAGAUUACGACGUUGAUAGGUUGCAG
Molecule: ribosomal RNA, 1396 nt
Filed under: metagenome
Description: bacterial LSU rRNA
Rfam family: Bacterial large subunit ribosomal RNA
Source: RNAcentral